UUAAGCGACUAAGCGUACACGGUGGAUGCCCUGGCAGUCAGAGGCGAUGAAGGACGUGCUAAUCUGCGAUAAGCGUCGGUAAGGUGAUAUGAACCGUUAUAACCGGCGAUUUCCGAAUGGGGAAACCCAGUGUGAUUCGUCACACUAUCAUUAACUGAAUCCAUAGGUUAAUGAGGCGAACCGGGGGAACUGAAACAUCUAAGUACCCCGAGGAAAAGAAAUCAACCGAGAUUCCCCCAGUAGCGGCGAGCGAACGGGGAGGAGCCCAGAGCCUGAAUCAGUGUGUGUGUUAGUGGAAGCGUCUGGAAAGGCGCGCGAUACAGGGUGACAGCCCCGUACACAAAAAUGCACAUGCUGUGAGCUCGAUGAGUAGGGCGGGACACGUGGUAUCCUGUCUGAAUAUGGGGGGACCAUCCUCCAAGGCUAAAUACUCCUGACUGACCGAUAGUGAACCAGUACCGUGAGGGAAAGGCGAAAAGAACCCCGGCGAGGGGAGUGAAAAAGAACCUGAAACCGUGUACGUACAAGCAGUGGGAGCACGCUUAGGCGUGUGACUGCGUACCUUUUGUAUAAUGGGUCAGCGACUUAUAUUCUGUAGCAAGGUUAACCGAAUAGGGGAGCCGAAGGGAAACCGAGUCUUAACUGGGCGUUAAGUUGCAGGGUAUAGACCCGAAACCCGGUGAUCUAGCCAUGGGCAGGUUGAAGGUUGGGUAACACUAACUGGAGGACCGAACCGACUAAUGUUGAAAAAUUAGCGGAUGACUUGUGGCUGGGGGUGAAAGGCCAAUCAAACCGGGAGAUAGCUGGUUCUCCCCGAAAGCUAUUUAGGUAGCGCCUCGUGAAUUCAUCUCCGGGGGUAGAGCACUGUUUCGGCAAGGGGGUCAUCCCGACUUACCAACCCGAUGCAAACUGCGAAUACCGGAGAAUGUUAUCACGGGAGACACACGGCGGGUGCUAACGUCCGUCGUGAAGAGGGAAACAACCCAGACCGCCAGCUAAGGUCCCAAAGUCAUGGUUAAGUGGGAAACGAUGUGGGAAGGCCCAGACAGCCAGGAUGUUGGCUUAGAAGCAGCCAUCAUUUAAAGAAAGCGUAAUAGCUCACUGGUCGAGUCGGCCUGCGCGGAAGAUGUAACGGGGCUAAACCAUGCACCGAAGCUGCGGCAGCGACACUAUGUGUUGUUGGGUAGGGGAGCGUUCUGUAAGCCUGCGAAGGUGUGCUGUGAGGCAUGCUGGAGGUAUCAGAAGUGCGAAUGCUGACAUAAGUAACGAUAAAGCGGGUGAAAAGCCCGCUCGCCGGAAGACCAAGGGUUCCUGUCCAACGUUAAUCGGGGCAGGGUGAGUCGACCCCUAAGGCGAGGCCGAAAGGCGUAGUCGAUGGGAAACAGGUUAAUAUUCCUGUACUUGGUGUUACUGCGAAGGGGGGACGGAGAAGGCUAUGUUGGCCGGGCGACGGUUGUCCCGGUUUAAGCGUGUAGGCUGGUUUUCCAGGCAAAUCCGGAAAAUCAAGGCUGAGGCGUGAUGACGAGGCACUACGGUGCUGAAGCAACAAAUGCCCUGCUUCCAGGAAAAGCCUCUAAGCAUCAGGUAACAUCAAAUCGUACCCCAAACCGACACAGGUGGUCAGGUAGAGAAUACCAAGGCGCUUGAGAGAACUCGGGUGAAGGAACUAGGCAAAAUGGUGCCGUAACUUCGGGAGAAGGCACGCUGAUAUGUAGGUGAAGUCCCUCGCGGAUGGAGCUGAAAUCAGUCGAAGAUACCAGCUGGCUGCAACUGUUUAUUAAAAACACAGCACUGUGCAAACACGAAAGUGGACGUAUACGGUGUGACGCCUGCCCGGUGCCGGAAGGUUAAUUGAUGGGGUCAGCGCAAGCGAAGCUCUUGAUCGAAGCCCCGGUAAACGGCGGCCGUAACUAUAACGGUCCUAAGGUAGCGAAAUUCCUUGUCGGGUAAGUUCCGACCUGCACGAAUGGCGUAAUGAUGGCCAGGCUGUCUCCACCCGAGACUCAGUGAAAUUGAACUCGCUGUGAAGAUGCAGUGUACCCGCGGCAAGACGGAAAGACCCCGUGAACCUUUACUAUAGCUUGACACUGAACAUUGAGCCUUGAUGUGUAGGAUAGGUGGGAGGCUUUGAAGUGUGGACGCCAGUCUGCAUGGAGCCGACCUUGAAAUACCACCCUUUAAUGUUUGAUGUUCUAACGUUGACCCGUGAUCCGGGUUGCGGACAGUGUCUGGUGGGUAGUUUGACUGGGGCGGUCUCCUCCUAAAGAGUAACGGAGGAGCACGAAGGUUGGCUAAUCCUGGUCGGACAUCAGGAGGUUAGUGCAAUGGCAUAAGCCAGCUUGACUGCGAGCGUGACGGCGCGAGCAGGUGCGAAAGCAGGUCAUAGUGAUCCGGUGGUUCUGAAUGGAAGGGCCAUCGCUCAACGGAUAAAAGGUACUCCGGGGAUAACAGGCUGAUACCGCCCAAGAGUUCAUAUCGACGGCGGUGUUUGGCACCUCGAUGUCGGCUCAUCACAUCCUGGGGCUGAAGUAGGUCCCAAGGGUAUGGCUGUUCGCCAUUUAAAGUGGUACGCGAGCUGGGUUUAGAACGUCGUGAGACAGUUCGGUCCCUAUCUGCCGUGGGCGCUGGAGAACUGAGGGGGGCUGCUCCUAGUACGAGAGGACCGGAGUGGACGCAUCACUGGUGUUCGGGUUGUCAUGCCAAUGGCACUGCCCGGUAGCUAAAUGCGGAAGAGAUAAGUGCUGAAAGCAUCUAAGCACGAAACUUGCCCCGAGAUGAGUUCUCCCUGACUCCUUGAGAGUCCUGAAGGAACGUUGAAGACGACGACGUUGAUAGGCCGGGUGUGUAAGCGCAGCGAUGCGUUGAGCUAACCGGUACUAAUGAACCGUGAGGCUUAACCUU
Molecule: ribosomal RNA, 2901 nt
Filed under: Escherichia coli
Lineage: Bacteria; Pseudomonadati; Pseudomonadota; Gammaproteobacteria; Enterobacterales; Enterobacteriaceae
Description: bacterial LSU rRNA
Rfam family: Bacterial large subunit ribosomal RNA
Source: RNAcentral